Schizosaccharomyces pombe (fission yeast) is the source of this 471-nucleotide non-coding RNA. The record is from the annotation of a GenBank genome assembly. NCBI's taxonomy places the organism in Eukaryota, Fungi, Ascomycota, Schizosaccharomycetes, Schizosaccharomycetales, Schizosaccharomycetaceae.
AUAACUUUAAGAAAAAAUCUAACCGAUUUUAAAUUUUUGAAAAAUAAAUACUGCUUGUAUUGUACUUUGAAAAUGGGAACUUCCGUCAAUUUCUUUUCGUUGACGAGCUUAUACGUUUAUUGAAGCAUGGCAUGCAAUCGAUUUUUGUUAAUAAUUUUCCAUUUUAGUAUUUCUUCAAUAAAAUGAGUAUUGUGUACAUAGUAAACUAAUUGCACACAUAUCGGUCGACACGCUAUUUCAUAAACGGAAUGUAGUACGAAAAUAAUAGCUAUUUUGAUUAAAACCCUCUUGAGUUUCAAUACAAAUGUAAAUGUUGCGUUAUAUGAACCCAAAGUUUAAAGUUCAAAGUCAAAGGCAGUAAUGAAUCAUAGAUUCAAAUGAACUUGAGCUUACUCUUGCAUUCCUGUUGACCUACCUAGUCAAAUUUCCCAUUAUGUAUAAAGGUUACGAAUUUGUUACCUUCUAAUCUGC